AAUUAUUGAGAAUUAGUUCUCUUGCCCUAAGGUUAAUUCCUUGUUCCUCUCUUGUUCUACAUCAGCAAGUUACUUGGUUCACGUGUCUUAAGUGUCCUUGCAUCACUAAAGGAAGCAUAGACGUAUGGAGCAUCCCAUAGAGCCUAUUAUGAGGAAAUUUCUAUUGUAUUUCACAUUGAUUUGAUAUAAAAAUAUAUACACCUUUCUUCCCAUCAUAACAGGAAUGCAAUCCCUGUAAUUAUGCUAACCUAACUAAUUAAGAAUAUAAAUCCAGCACUAAAUAAGAAUACUACACAAAAAAUAGGAAUACUACACAUGAUAGGCGUUUUUCUUUCUUGCAAAUAUUCUAUUCUUAGUGAAUGGUUUGCCUUUGAUCAAAUUAGGGAGUUGGACUUGGUACAGACCACAAAAACUAGACCAAGGUGUUUUUUUUUUUUUUUAAAUGAAGAUACAUGAAGGAAAAUUUAUGAAAAUGCAUACAGCAAUGAGCAUAAAGCUGAUCAGAAUAAAUCAAAUCACAUCAUUUCUAACACUAACAACCCUCGUAUGUACCAAAAAAAUAAUUACCUCUAAAUUAGGCCAACUCAUCAUUUCCUCUGCUAGUAUUUGGAGUGCAACACGAUUUUUUGGGACUUUACCUUCAUUCACCUAUUAAACAAAGAAUUAUAGGAUAACAAAAUAAAUGAGAUAAAGUUUUAGAUUUUACAUUAUAUGAAAGAAAAAGCUUCUUCUUCUCCUUCUAUGGUAAGACAAAAGGUCUCAAAUCUCAAAAUUUUGGCGCACCAACAUUUUAAUGCUUUAGUAUUCUAAAGUCAAGUGUAUCCAUCAACUAAACUUUAGCCCGCACAUUGUGUGGUAAAUUUUCUUAUUAUAAAUUUAUAUUUGAAUUCACGUUCAUAGUAUCAAAAUGACCAAUUUUCUAAAUUAAAAAAUAAAAAAUGUAAUAUUAGUAUAAAUCAAAUGAAAAGGUUUAUGAAACAACUCUAACAUGAAUGAUAAAUAAUCAAGAAGACUUUUUCACAUAUCAAAAUGGCAAUUCUUUUGAGAGUAUCCUUUGACGGUGUUUAUGAGAUGAGGUUGUAAUUUUUUUUUUUUUUUAAUCUCUUGGAAUCUAUUUUGAUGCUAGCUAGUUACUAUUAGUGGGUCAUGCACCUUUGCAAUUAGUUGACAAACAACAUUUUGAUGCAAUGUAAAGGAAUAUUUUGAGAAACCCAAAAAUAGGGAAGAAAUUGGUCCUUUUUUUGCUACAUUAUUAGGAAAAAAAAAUUGAUGAAAAGACAUGCUUGGCUUGUACAUUUGAUUUGAUUUGACUAAUUGGAGCAUUUGGGUCAAUAAUGUGGCCACGAUAAUUGUCAAUUUUCA
This 1362-nucleotide unclassified non-coding RNA is filed under the name Hevea brasiliensis (rubber tree). Lineage: Eukaryota; Viridiplantae; Streptophyta; Magnoliopsida; Malpighiales; Euphorbiaceae. The record is from RNAcentral.